This 2230-nucleotide ribosomal RNA is filed under the name Salmonella enterica subsp. enterica serovar Enteritidis. RNAcentral's name for it is "partial 23S ribosomal RNA". It matches the Rfam family "Bacterial large subunit ribosomal RNA", at positions 587 to 2803 of the family's 2925-position model. Lineage: Bacteria; Pseudomonadati; Pseudomonadota; Gammaproteobacteria; Enterobacterales; Enterobacteriaceae. The record is from RNAcentral.
UUGGGUGUGACUGCGUACCUUUUGUAUAAUGGGUCAGCGACUUAUAUUCUGUAGCAAGGUUAACCGAAUAGGGGAGCCGGAGGGAAACCGAGUCUUAAUUGGGCGUUAAGUUGCAGGGUAUAGACCCGAAACCCGGUGAUCUAGCCAUGGGCAGGUUGAAGGUUGGGUAACACUAACUGGAGGACCGAACCGACUAAUGUUGAAAAAUUAGCGGAUGACCUGUGGCUGGGGGUGAAAGGCCAAUCAAACCGGGAGAUAGCUGGUUCUCCCCGAAAGCUAUUUAGGUAGCGCCUCGUGAAUUCAUCUCCGGGGGUAGAGCACUGUUUCGGCUAGGGGGCCAUCCCGGCUUACCAACCCGAUGCAAACUGCGAAUACCGGAGAAUGUUAUCACGGGAGACACACGGCGGGUGCUAACGUCCGUCGUGAAGAGGGAAACAACCCAGACCGCCAGCUAAGGUCCCAAAGUCAUGGUUAAGUGGGAAACGAUGUGGGAAGGCCCAGACAGCCAGGAUGUUGGCUUAGAAGCAGCCAUCAUUUAAAGAAAGCGUAAUAGCUCACUGGUCGAGUCGGCCUGCGCGGAAGAUGUAACGGGGCUAAACCAUGCACCGAAGCUGCGGCAGCGACACUGUGUGUUGUUGGGUAGGGGAGCGUUCUGUAAGCCUGUGAAGGUGUGUCGUGAGGCAUGCUGGAGGUAUCAGAAGUGCGAAUGCUGACAUAAGUAACGAUAAAGCGGGUGAAAAGCCCGCUCGCCGGAAGACCAAGGGUUCCUGUCCAACGUUAAUCGGGGCAGGGUGAGUCGACCCCUAAGGCGAGGCCGAAAGGCGUAGUCGAUGGGAAACGGGUUAAUAUUCCCGUACUUGGUGUUACUGCGAAGGGGGGACGGAGAAGGCUAUGUUGGCCGGGCGACGGUUGUCCCGGUUUAAGCGUGUAGGCUGGUUUUCCAGGCAAAUCCGGAAAAUCAAGGCUGAGGCGUGAUGACGAGGCACUACGGUGCUGAAGCAACAAAUGCCCUGCUUCCAGGAAAAGCCUCUAAGCAUCAGGUAACAUCAAAUCGUACCCCAAACCGACACAGGUGGUCAGGUAGAGAAUACCAAGGCGCUUGAGAGAACUCGGGUGAAGGAACUAGGCAAAAUGGUGCCGUAACUUCGGGAGAAGGCACGCUGACACGUAGGUGAAGUGAUUUACUCAUGGAGCUGAAGUCAGUCGAAGAUACCAGCUGGCUGCAACUGUUUAUUAAAAACACAGCACUGUGCAAACACGAAAGUGGACGUAUACGGUGUGACGCCUGCCCGGUGCCGGAAGGUUAAUUGAUGGGGUCAGCGCAAGCGAAGCUCCUGAUCGAAGCCCCGGUAAACGGCGGCCGUAACUAUAACGGUCCUAAGGUAGCGAAAUUCCUUGUCGGGUAAGUUCCGACCUGCACGAAUGGCGUAAUGAUGGCCAGGCUGUCUCCACCCGAGACUCAGUGAAAUUGAACUCGCUGUGAAGAUGCAGUGUACCCGCGGCAAGACGGAAAGACCCCGUGAACCUUUACUAUAGCUUGACACUGAACAUUGAGCCUUGAUGUGUAGGAUAGGUGGGAGGCUUUGAAGUGUGGACGCCAGUCUGCAUGGAGCCGACCUUGAAAUACCACCCUUUAAUGUUUGAUGUUCUAACGUGGACCCGUUACCCGGGUUGCGGACAGUGUCUGGUGGGUAGUUUGACUGGGGCGGUCUCCUCCUAAAGAGUAACGGAGGAGCACGAAGGUUGGCUAAUCCUGGUCGGACAUCAGGAGGUUAGUGCAAUGGCAUAAGCCAGCUUGACUGCGAGCGUGACGGCGCGAGCAGGUGCGAAAGCAGGUCAUAGUGAUCCGGUGGUUCUGAAUGGAAGGGCCAUCGCUCAACGGAUAAAAGGUACUCCGGGGAUAACAGGCUGAUACCGCCCAAGAGUUCAUAUCGACGGCGGUGUUUGGCACCUCGAUGUCGGCUCAUCACAUCCUGGGGCUGAAGUAGGUCCCAAGGGUAUGGCUGUUCGCCAUUUAAAGUGGUACGCGAGCUGGGUUUAGAACGUCGUGAGACAGUUCGGUCCCUAUCUGCCGUGGGCGCUGGAGAACUGAGGGGGGCUGCUCCUAGUACGAGAGGACCGGAGUGGACGCAUCACUGGUGUUCGGGUUGUCAUGCCAAUGGCACUGCCCGGUAGCUAAAUGCGGAAGAGAUAAGUGCUGAAAGCAUCUAAGCACGAAACUUGCCCCGAG